UCUCCGUAGGUGAACCUGCGGAGGGAUCAUUAACGAGUACGGGGCCCGAGAGGGCCCCCCAACUCCCACCCCAUGUCGUCGACCAAUUCGUUGCCUCGGCGGGGCCAGCGGCCCCCGUGGCCCGGGCUCCGGCCCACCCGCCGACGGACAAACCAAACCAUGUCUCCAACCACGCGGUCUGAGCAGAUUAUUAAAAUAAAUCAAAACUUUCAACAACGGAUCUCUUGGUUCUGGCAUCGAUGAAGAACGCAGC
RNAcentral lists this unclassified non-coding RNA (253 nucleotides) under uncultured fungus. Its description in RNAcentral is "sequence contains ITS1, 5.8S rRNA gene". The stretch from base 205 to 253 matches the Rfam family "5.8S ribosomal RNA", at positions 1 to 49 of the family's 154-position model. The record is from RNAcentral. Lineage: Eukaryota; Fungi.